GCCCUGCUGGCGCAAUGGUAGCGCGUGGCCCUCCUACAUCUCCCCAGAUCUGCGAGGCCAAGGUUGCAGGUUCGAGUCCUGCGUAGGGCU
Molecule: transfer RNA, 90 nt
Organism: Paraphaeosphaeria sporulosa
Lineage: Eukaryota; Fungi; Ascomycota; Dothideomycetes; Pleosporales; Didymosphaeriaceae
Rfam family: tRNA
About the family: Transfer RNA (tRNA) molecules are approximately 80 nucleotides in length. Their secondary structure includes four short double-helical elements and three loops (D, anti-codon, and T loops).
Source: Rfam